CUGAGUCAAGCAGUUAAAAAUAAAUCCCAGCAGUUGUGGAAGGAGCAGCAUUUGGUGAUACCUAAGGCGAUAAAUGGGUAGAAUUUCUGCUCACAACCCUGUGGAGCUUAGAGGGAACAUGGGCUCUAUCUUGUCCAUGCAGCAUGGACAAUGUCAAGAAGACCCAACGACAAGAACUAAGUAGCUGCUAGCAAACCCCAUGAAUCUGCAGAAGGAAGAAUUUUUAGCAAAAUGUGAAUACGGUUUGGUCCUUGGUGCCCACCUCCUAAAGAUGCAUGUAGCUGGGAAAGCAUUCAGUGACAAGUGUGAUGGGCAUCCUGCA
This is a long non-coding RNA of Gekko japonicus, 322 nucleotides long. RefSeq lists it as uncharacterized. The record is from RefSeq and is a predicted model, not a curated record. The transcript is spliced from 3 exons. NCBI's taxonomy places the organism in Eukaryota, Metazoa, Chordata, Lepidosauria, Squamata, Gekkonidae.